Molecule: transfer RNA, 93 nt
Filed under: Bacillota bacterium
Lineage: Bacteria; Bacillati; Bacillota
Description: tRNA-Ser
Rfam family: tRNA
About the family: Transfer RNA (tRNA) molecules are approximately 80 nucleotides in length. Their secondary structure includes four short double-helical elements and three loops (D, anti-codon, and T loops).
Source: RNAcentral
GGAGGGGUGUCGGAGCGGUUGAUCGAGCUCGACUCGAAAUCGAGUAGGCGUCUAAAAAGCGCCUCGUGGGUUCGAAUCCCACCCCCUCCGCCA